GCAAACUCUGGCUUUCAGUGAGUUGCGAUAGCAAAGUAUAACAACAGAAUGAUGGGGUCUCUUGUUCCCUGAACACUUUAGAAUGGGUUCUUCCACCCUGACAUAUGGGCUUGAGCCGGGGCUGCAGCAGGAGUUUCCUUGUCUUGAUUUGUGCUCUUCCACUACGCUUAGAAAGAAAUACUGUAAAUAGAUAUUUUUCUUUUCAACAGAAGACAAACACCAUGGUGCAACUCAGUGGUCAUAUAAAUACCUGUCAAAAUAACAGAUCAGUUUUUAAAAUAGCAUAUGUACAGAAACAUGUAUCAAAACUAAUUGAUCUGCUGUAAGAAUUGACAUGUUUAAAGAAUGCCUUUGGUGCAGUGGACAAGAAUUUAAAUACAAAAUAAAUGGAAAGUAACAGAAGAAAGUCA
This 410-nucleotide long non-coding RNA is filed under the name Apteryx owenii (little spotted kiwi). RNAcentral's name for it is "lncRNA (ENSAOWG00000010684.1)". Lineage: Eukaryota; Metazoa; Chordata; Aves; Apterygiformes; Apterygidae. The record is from RNAcentral.